This is a non-coding RNA of Pelobates cultripes (western spadefoot toad), 328 nucleotides long. The record is from the annotation of a GenBank genome assembly. Lineage: Eukaryota; Metazoa; Chordata; Amphibia; Anura; Pelobatidae.
GGGGGAGGGAAGAGGAAAGGGCUAGCUAGUCCUGAUUUGGUGCAACCUAGCAGAUUUGCCGUUUGAGGGAAGAUGUUGGGAGCAUCAGCUCAGGAGUAGCUGUAUUAGAGGAAGCUGUUACUUCUAACAGCCCCCCUAGUACGGGUGGGGAUCAAAAUGUAAGGAAGACAAGACAGGUUGUGGUGGUAGGGGACUCUAUCAUUAGGAGAGCAGAUAGGGCAAUCUGCCGCUCUGAUCGGCUCAACCGGACAGUUUGCUGUCUCCCGGGUGCUCGGGUCCGGCAUGUUGCUGACAGAGUGGAUGGAUUAUUGGGAGGGGCUGGGGAUGG